ACAACGUCAGUGCAUCUGCUUUGAAAGGACAGUCUUUUUCCACAGUGAACGCUCUCUCUCUCUGACAGAUCUAUGAAUCUGCAGUACGUGCUCAUGACAGACGUCAGGUACAGAAAGCAAUGCGUACACCUCAGAGACGACCGCGUGGUAAAGUGACGUCGACCACCCACUUACAUGAUGGGCAGUGUAAAUCUUCCCUAGGACAUAAAUCACUGUCUGAUCACUUGAAAGUUCAAGUGUUGAAGCCCGUUGGAGCAGAAAAUCCCUGGCUUUCUGAAUACAUGAGAUGUUAUUCAUCACGCUCACUCUGAGUCUGAACAGCUUCCUGUUGAAUAGAGUGUGGGCCAGUAGAAUAGUUUAUUUAUUCAGGUCUGUUUUGGGCUCAGUGACGGGCCCUAAUUGGAGUCUGUAUAUGAGGGCUGAUUCAUGGGAAACCCAUAACUAGCAAACACGGGAAUUGUUUUGCUGAUUUGUAGAGUAGACCCAGUGAUAGUAUUGGUGUUUUGUCUUCGCAUCGCGACAUGGCAACAGGAGCACAGAGGCCCAUUUCGGACUUGGGGAAUUUAUUCCCUUGUGUUGCAGUUAUUUUCUAAACUGAUUAUUGACUGUUCUGAUUACUGUCAGUUGUGCAAUGUGUACUAUUGAGAGUUUCAUUAGUGUAUAUAUAUGGUCGGUAGCACAUGAAUUUCUGUAAACUCAAUGUUAUUUUGCACAAAUGGCUCAAUUGCACUGGUAACCGUUAUCUAUGGUUUUGUCAGUUUUUUUUAUAACUAUAUGCACUAUCAUGAGUGCACCUCUUGGAACGUUCAUUGGACUUUUUUCUAUAGGGCUUCAUAUUUGUAACCUUUUUACACUUGUAGGGUUCUCUCUUGUCAUUGUAGAUAAUCUGGUCACUAUCACAUUGCUGUUUUGUACAUUUACAACAGUGACUGCUUGUCAAAAGUACCUAAUUGAUUUGUAAAGCACUUUGGACAGUCUGAGAUUUGUGAACUUGCUGUAAAUAUAUGGCCUUGCUUCUUAUGUUGUGCCUGCUCAGUAAAUGAAUUUAUAUUUGUGA
Molecule: RNA transcript, 1057 nt
Organism: Rhincodon typus (whale shark)
Lineage: Eukaryota; Metazoa; Chordata; Chondrichthyes; Orectolobiformes; Rhincodontidae
Exons: 2
Source: RefSeq, a predicted model, not a curated record